AACCUUAUGGACCUGCGGGCGUAUACCUGCGGAAGGAUCAUUACACUCAGUAGAUUUCUACUGCUCGGGGAGAGGGGAAAGCCCGCCAGAUUGCUUCGGCAGCUGGCGUGCGAGUACGCUCUCUGUCUGCACCCUUGUCUUUUUGCGUACUCAUGUUUCCUCGGCGGGUCCGCCCGCCGUUUGGACACCUUAACCACCUUUUGAAAUUUUCAAUCAGCGUCUGAAUAGCUAUAAUAAUUA
This 240-nucleotide unclassified non-coding RNA is filed under the name soil metagenome. Its description in RNAcentral is "partial contains 5.8S ribosomal RNA, internal transcribed spacer 2, and large subunit ribosomal RNA". The record is from RNAcentral.